Molecule: transfer RNA, 93 nt
Filed under: Methylobacterium frigidaeris
Lineage: Bacteria; Pseudomonadati; Pseudomonadota; Alphaproteobacteria; Hyphomicrobiales; Methylobacteriaceae
Description: tRNA-Ala
Source: RNAcentral
AGGCGCGCUGGCGCACGGUGCUGGCGCGGGCGCUCGCCUUGCCGCAGGCUCCGGUCGAGGAGGGCGCCCCGGUCGCGGCCGGGCACCUCUACC